Molecule: small nuclear RNA, 90 nt
Filed under: Panthera leo (lion)
Lineage: Eukaryota; Metazoa; Chordata; Mammalia; Carnivora; Felidae
Description: U2 spliceosomal RNA (ENSPLOG00000005710.1)
Rfam family: U2 spliceosomal RNA
About the family: U2 is a small nuclear RNA (snRNA) component of the spliceosome (involved in pre-mRNA splicing). Complementary binding between U2 snRNA (in an area lying towards the 5' end but 3' to hairpin I) and the branchpoint sequence (BPS) of the intron results the bulging out of an unpaired adenosine, on the BPS, which initiates a nucleophilic attack at the intronic 5' splice site, thus starting the first of two transesterification reactions that mediate splicing.
Source: Rfam by way of RNAcentral
AUCGCUCCUCGGCCUUUUGGCUAAGAUCAAGUGUAGUAUCUAAGAAACUUGUCUGUACCAUUUUAUUUAUUUAUAUUUUAAUUAAUUUUU